AACGCACGAGACCUGCGGACCUGCGGAGGGAUCAUUACCGAGUUAUCCAACCCCCAACCCCUGUGAAUUAUACCUUUAAUUGUUGCUUCGGCGGGACUUCGCGCCCGCCGGGGACCCAAACCUUCUGAAUUUUUUAAUAAGUAUCUUCUGAGUGGUUAAAAAAAUGAAUCAAAACUUUCAACAACGGAUCUCU
Molecule: unclassified non-coding RNA, 193 nt
Filed under: soil metagenome
Description: partial contains 5.8S ribosomal RNA, internal transcribed spacer 2, and large subunit ribosomal RNA
Source: RNAcentral